UUUUGUACCCCGUGGCUAAGCAUAUCAAUAAGCGGAGGAAAAGAAACUAACAAGGAUUCCCCUAGUAACUGCGAGUGAAGCGGGAAGAGCUCAAAUUUAAAAUCUGGCGGUCUUUUGGCCGUCCGAGUUGUAUUCUGGAGAAGUGCUUUCCGCGCUGGACCGUGUAUAAGUCUCUUGGAACAGAGCGUCAUAGAGGGUGAGAAUCCCGUCUUUGACACGGACUACCAGUGCUUUGUGAUGCGCUCUCAAAGAGUCGAGUUGUUUGGGAAUGCAGCUCAAAAUGGGUGGUAAAUUCCAUCUAAAGCUAAAUAUUGGCGAGAGACCGAUAGCGAACAAGUACCGUGAGGGAAAGAUGAAAAGCACUUUGGAAAGAGAGUUAAACAGUACGUGAAAUUGUUGAAAGGGAAACGCUUGAAGUCAGUCGCGUUAGCCGGGACUCAGCCUUGCCUUUCGCUUGGUGUAUUUUCCGGUUGACGGGCCAGCAUCGACUUUGACCGCUGGAUAAGGGUUAGGGGAAUGUGGCACCUCCGGGUGUGUUAUAGCCUCUGGUCGUAUACAGUGGUCGGGAUCGAGGACCGCAGCCUUUUGGGCUUAGGAUGCUGGCGUAAUGGCUUUAAACGACCCGUCUUGAAACACGGACCAAGGAGUCUAACAUGCCUGCGAGUGUUUGGGUGGAAAACCCGAGCGCGUAAUGAAAGUGAAAGUUGAGACCUUUGUCGUGAAGGGCAUCGACGCCCGGACCUGAUCUUCGGUGACGGAUCUGCGGUAGAGCAUGUAUGUUGGGACCCGAAAGAUGGUGAACUAUGCCUGAAUAGGGUGAAGCCAGAGGAAACUCUGGUGGAGGCUCGUAGCGAUUCUGACGUGCAAAUCGAUCGUCAAAUUUGGGUAUAGGGGCGAAAGACUAAUCGAACCAUCUAGUAGCUGGUUCCUGCCGAUCUCCCCCCCCGGAGAUAAAAAAGAAAAAAAG
This 967-nucleotide ribosomal RNA is filed under the name Neolentinus lepideus. Its description in RNAcentral is "partial large subunit ribosomal RNA". It matches the Rfam family "Eukaryotic large subunit ribosomal RNA", at positions 24 to 998 of the family's 3401-position model. The record is from RNAcentral. Lineage: Eukaryota; Fungi; Basidiomycota; Agaricomycetes; Gloeophyllales; Gloeophyllaceae.